CGUGUUUACUGUCUAGCCUGGCGCCCCACCACCCGCUUCUGUGGCUGCGGCCAGUCAGACCCUUCUCCGCCUUUUCAGAAGUUGUCGAUUGCAUCUCUGCAAAAGAUUGCUGUCAGGAUAGAAAUAGUCCUUACAGAAGUGGAAAUUUGGGGAAAACCUGCAAAAUGGCUCUGUCUUCUGACUAGGUGUAAUAUGGAUAAGAAGAUUGGAGUUAAUUAAUCAAGUGGUGGUGCCUGUGUGGCAGCAGUGAGCACAAAGUAUGAACCAUCUCCAGAAGUGAGGCCCAGUCAAGCAUACACCCACAGUCUCCGGUUCAGUUUUCAGUUAACAUUACAGAAUAAGCUACAUCCUAUGUGCAAUAUUCUAAGGUUUGUCAGUGAACCCACCUCUUCUUCUGCACUGUUUUGUUUUGUUUUUUUUUUUUUUUAAUAAAAAGCCAUAGUUCAACUUUUAAGCAAUAUUUUAAAUGUUGGGUAUCAAAUGGUUUGCUGUGGAGCAGUUGGUUUCCUUCCAUUUCACAUUGUACAUUUAACA
Erpetoichthys calabaricus (reedfish) is the source of this 534-nucleotide long non-coding RNA. RefSeq lists it as uncharacterized. The record is from RefSeq and is a predicted model, not a curated record. Lineage: Eukaryota; Metazoa; Chordata; Cladistia; Polypteriformes; Polypteridae. The transcript has 3 exons.